This is a non-coding RNA of Ceratotherium simum simum (southern white rhinoceros), 355 nucleotides long. The record is from RefSeq and is a predicted model, not a curated record. Lineage: Eukaryota; Metazoa; Chordata; Mammalia; Perissodactyla; Rhinocerotidae.
GUGGCCUGUACUUAACCUUUAACACCACUACCCUAGAAGUCAUGAAUAUGUAAUGGAGCCACCCUGCUGUGAGCAGCAUACAUGAGAUAAUAAAUUCCCUCUUGAUUGCUACAGUAAUUGGCUAUGCCCCCAAGCAUGAGACUUGAUUAUUCCAACAUGUAUAAUUAUGAAAGUUAUUAUAGGCAUAAAUUAGACAGCUCUUUUAAAAAUACAGCUAUAAUACCACUCAGUGUGAUCCCGAAUCAUAUUUUAUGGGGCAAGGUGAAAAAGGACCAUUGGUUUUCACUAUAGCAAUUUUACUAAUUUCUCUUAAAUCUCAACCUUUCACCUACUCAACAAAGAUCUUCCAUUUUUA